AUUGAACGCUGGCGGCAGGCCUAACACAUGCAAGUCGAGCGGAUGAAGGGAGCUUGCUCCUGGAUUCAGCGGCGGACGGGUGUGUAAUGCCUAUGAAUCUGCCUGGUAGUGGGGGAUAACGUCCGGAAACGGGCGCUAAUACCGCAUACGUCCUGAUGUAGAAAGUGGGGGAUCUUCGGACCUCUCGCUAUCAUAUGAGCCUAGGUCGGAUUAGCUAGUUGGUGGGGUAAAGGCCUACCAAGGCGACGAUCCGUAACUGGUCUGAGAGGAUGAUCAGUCACACUGGAACGGAGACACGGUCCAGACUCCUACGGGAGGCAGCAGUGGGGAAUAUUGGACAAUGGGCGAAAGCGUGAUACAGCCAUGCCGCGUGUGUGAAGAAGGUCUUCGGAUUGUAAAGCACUUUAAGUUGGGAGGAAGGGAAGUAAGUUAAUACCUUGCUGUAUUGACGUUAACAACAGAAUAAGCACCGGCUAACUUCGUG
This 484-nucleotide ribosomal RNA is filed under the name uncultured bacterium. RNAcentral describes it as "partial 16S ribosomal RNA". It matches the Rfam family "Bacterial small subunit ribosomal RNA", at positions 30 to 507 of the family's 1533-position model. The record is from RNAcentral.